This 568-nucleotide long non-coding RNA is filed under the name Gallus gallus (chicken). RNAcentral's name for it is "lncRNA (ENSGALG00010026138.1)". Lineage: Eukaryota; Metazoa; Chordata; Aves; Galliformes; Phasianidae. The record is from RNAcentral.
ACAACAUCCACCGUAUAUCACAUUAGGGUGAAGAACACGAUGCCUUGCCCACUUAAAAAAUUCACCAUUGCAUUUUUGGGUAUGUUGGAGUUACACAACGAAAUGCAACUGAAAAGAAGUACUGGGCAGAGCCCAAGACGGCACAUCGAGCCAUGAACAAAUUGGUGUUCUCUCUUCUUUGCUGAAUUACGGAACCUCAGGUGUUGGAAAGGACCUCUGGAGAUCAUCCAGUCUAACCCCCUGCUUCAGCAGGUUCCCUACAGCAGAUCACACAGCUAGGCAUCCAGGUAGUGAAUCAACAACCUUUCUCAAAGAGGAAAAAAGAAAACUAGCAUGUAUGGCUAGAAAGUGGCUAGAUGGUGUCACAGAACUCAAGAAUGAGAAAGUUCUGAGAAUACAACCUCACACUGCACCUCCUGGUGAAGAAUGAGACCAUCUUGUUUGAAGCAAUGUGCUGCAGUCAAAACUAUUCAGACCGCUUUCUUCUGCAAGAUGUACAUAUCACAUGCAGGAUUUAAGAACAUGUGGCACAAACAAGAGAUAUUUCAUGACCAUCGCAAACAGUCAC